AUGCUGUUAGUCUUUGUGGCAUUAGCUUUGAAGGGGCUAAAUUUUGUAGGCAUA
Molecule: transfer RNA, 54 nt
Filed under: Tyrophagus putrescentiae
Lineage: Eukaryota; Metazoa; Arthropoda; Arachnida; Sarcoptiformes; Acaridae
Description: tRNA-Phe
Source: RNAcentral